GCUCAGAUUGAACGCUGGCGGCAGGCCUAACACAUGCAAGUCGAACGGUAACAGGAAGCAGCUUGCUGCUUCGCUGACGAGUGGCGGACGGGUGAGUAAUGUCUGGGAAACUGCCUGAUGGAGGGGGAUAACUACUGGAAACGGUAGCUAAUACCGCAUAACGUCGCAAGACCAAAGAGGGGGACCUUCGGGCCUCUUGCCAUCGGAUGUGCCCAGAUGGGAUUAGCUAGUAGGUGGGGUAACGGCUCACCUAGGCGACGAUCCCUAGCUGGUCUGAGAGGAUGACCAGCCACACUGGAACUGAGACACGGUCCAGACUCCUACGGGAGGCAGCAGUGGGGAAUAUUGCACAAUGGGCGCAAGCCUGAUGCAGCCAUGCCGCGUGUAUGAAGAAGGCCUUCGGGUUGUAAAGUACUUUCAGCGGGGAGGAAGGCGAUAAGGUUAAUAACCUUGUCGAUUGACGUUACCCGCAGAAGAAGCACCGGCUAACUCCGUGCCAGCAGCCGCGGUAAUACGGAGGGUGCAAGCGUUAAUCGGAAUUACUGGGCGUAAAGCGCACGCAGGCGGUCUGUCAAGUCGGAUGUGAAAUCCCCGGGCUCAACCUGGGAACUGCAUUCGAAACUGGCAGGCUAGAGUCUUGUAGAGGGGGGUAGAAUUCCAGGUGUAGCGGUGAAAUGCGUAGAGAUCUGGAGGAAUACCGGUGGCGAAGGCGGCCCCCUGGACAAAGACUGACGCU
Molecule: ribosomal RNA, 736 nt
Filed under: uncultured bacterium
Lineage: Bacteria
Description: bacterial SSU rRNA
Rfam family: Bacterial small subunit ribosomal RNA
Source: RNAcentral